Molecule: ribosomal RNA, 483 nt
Filed under: uncultured bacterium
Lineage: Bacteria
Description: partial 16S ribosomal RNA
Rfam family: Bacterial small subunit ribosomal RNA
Source: RNAcentral
GAUGAACGCUGGCGGCGUGCCUAACACAUGCAAGUCGAACGAAGCUUGACGGAUGAUUUCUUCGGAAUGAAACCAGAUAUGACUUAGUGGCGGACGGGUGAGUAACACGUGAGCAACCUGCCUUUCAGAGGGGGAUAACGGCUGGAAACGGUCGCUAAUACCGCAUGAUGUGUUCGGAUGGCAUCAUCUGAACAUCAAAGAUUUAUCGCUGAAAGAUGGGCUCGCGUCUGAUUAGAUAGUUGGUGGGGUAACGGCCUACCAAGUCUACGAUCAGUAGCCGGACUGAGAGGUGGAACGGCCACAUUGGGACUGAGAUACGGCCCAGACUCCUACGGGAGGCAGCAGUGGGGAAUAUUGCACAAUGGGGGAAACCCUGAUGCAGCAACGCCGCGUGAAGGAUGACGGUUUUCGGAUUGUAAACUUCUUUUCUUAGUGCCGAAGACAGUGACGGUAGCUAAGGAAUAAGCAUCGGCUAACUACGUG